UACGGGAGGCAGCAGUAAGGAAUAUUGGACAAUGGUCGCAAGACUGAUCCAGCCAUGCCGCGUGCAGGAUGAACGAUCUAUGAUCUGUAAACUGCUUUUGUUCGGGAAUAAACCCCUUCACGUGUGGAGGGCUGAAUGUACCGAAAGAAUAAGGGUCGGCUAACUUCGUGCCAGCAGCCGCGGUAAGACGAAGGACCCAAGCGUUAUCCGGAUUUAUUGGGUUUAAAGGGUGCGUAGGCGGGUUGUUAAGUCAGUGGUGAAAGCCUAGAGCUUAACUCUAGAAUUGCCAUUGAUACUGACGAUCUUGAGGAUAGUUGAGGUGGGCGGAAUGUAUCAUGUAGCGGUGAAAUGCUUAGAGAUGAUACAGAACACCGAUUGCGAAGGCAGCUCACUAAGCUAUUUCUGACGCUGAGGCACGAAAGCGUGGGGAUCAAACAGGAUUAGAUACCCUGGUAGUCCACGCCCUAAACGAUGAUUACUCGAUGUGUGCGAUAUACUGUACGCGUCUAAGCGAAAGCA
This 519-nucleotide ribosomal RNA is filed under the name uncultured Bacteroidota bacterium. Its description in RNAcentral is "bacterial SSU rRNA". It matches the Rfam family "Bacterial small subunit ribosomal RNA", at positions 340 to 859 of the family's 1533-position model. Lineage: Bacteria; Pseudomonadati; Bacteroidota. The record is from RNAcentral.